GAUGAACGCUGGCGGCGUGCUUAACACAUGCAAGUCGAACGGAAAGGCCCAAGCUUGCUUGGGUACUCGAGUGGCGAACGGGUGAGUAACACGUGGGUGAUCUGCCCUGCACUUCGGGAUAAGCCUGGGAAACUGGGUCUAAUACCGGAUAGGACCACUUCUUGGAUGGUGUGGUGGAAAGUUUUCUCGGUGUGGGGUGAGCUCGCGGCCUAUCAGCUUGUUGGGGGGGGAAUGGGCUACCAAGGCGUCGAGGGGUAGCCGGCCUGUGAGGGUGUACGGCCACAUUGGGACUGUGAUACGGCCCCGACUCCUCCGGGAGGCAGCAGUGGGGAAUAUUGCACAAUGGGGGCAAGCCUGAUGCAGAGACGCCGCGUGGGGGAUGACGGCCUUCGGGUUGUAAAAUCCUUUCGCUAGGGACGAAGCGUUUUUGUGACGGUACCUGGAGAAGAAGCACCGGCUAACUACGUG
Molecule: ribosomal RNA, 468 nt
Filed under: uncultured bacterium
Lineage: Bacteria
Description: partial 16S ribosomal RNA
Rfam family: Bacterial small subunit ribosomal RNA
Source: RNAcentral